CGGCACAUCCCAAUUAAAAGCCAAGUCCAAUCUUUUGAUCGAAAUGUCCACUAGAGCGGAGCUUGUCCAUAUAAAUGUUGUGGAGCUCUGCCAUUUGGGCACGCCCAUUCUGCCAUGCCAAGGGCUCGCUUUGGUUGCUAACUUCUGCUCUCUCUCCGUCUCGCGGAACGGCAAGAAUGUCAUCAAACACACGCUUUUGCCUAAUUCGGCUCCUGACUGUCGUCCUCAGCAUAUUGUUGGUUAUUGUCAGCAGAAGCGUUGCUGCAAGAAGCUUAGGCCCACGGCCAUCUUGUGCUAAUCCGAACAACCGUUGUCCAGGAUCAUGCAGUCCGUUCUCAAAUUCUUGUCAUUAGCACUUUGAGAGCCCAGGAGCUCAUCCUGAUCUACAAAAUGCAUAGAAUUUGAGAAGAUUAUCUGGUUUCAUAUAUAUAUGUGCUCAUCGUAGUUCUACAUGUUUGAACGUAGACUUAAAUAAAUAAAGUAGGCUAUGGUUUCUUGUAACAGGACUUCACUAUGUAAGAAAAGUAAUUGGAGACGCGGACUAACAAGGAUAGGAGACGCGGUUUUUUUUUUAUCUCCAAAUUUACUUCUCUGAUGUGAUGUGAAGUCACAGGAGAAGCAGAUGAGCCGCAUCUCCUAUAAAGGAUAAGAUACGAGACGCAUGUGAACCACAUCUCCUCAUUGAGUUAACAAGUGUCUCUCAUACAUUCUAUUGGAGACGUGGUUAUCCGCAUCUCCUAUGUUGUUUACAGAAUGUCUCCAUGAAUGUAAACAGAGAUGUGGGAUGCUA
Molecule: long non-coding RNA, 790 nt
Organism: Panicum virgatum (switchgrass)
Lineage: Eukaryota; Viridiplantae; Streptophyta; Magnoliopsida; Poales; Poaceae
Exons: 2
Source: RefSeq, a predicted model, not a curated record